RNAcentral lists this ribosomal RNA (702 nucleotides) under uncultured Gemmata sp. RNAcentral describes it as "bacterial SSU rRNA". It matches the Rfam family "Bacterial small subunit ribosomal RNA", at positions 94 to 825 of the family's 1533-position model. The record is from RNAcentral. Lineage: Bacteria; Pseudomonadati; Planctomycetota; Planctomycetia; Gemmatales; Gemmataceae.
ACCGGCGUAAGGGGCAGUAAGGCAUGGAUACCUACCCCGGGGUUCGGGAUAGCCACCAGAAAUGGUGGGUAAUACCGGAUGAUGUCGUGAGACCAAAGAUUUAUCGCCCUGGGAGGGGCCCAUGUGAUAUUAGCUUGUUGGUGAGGUAACGGCUCACCAAGGCUCAGAUGUCUAGCGGGUGUGAGAGCACGACCCGCGCCACUCGCACUGAGACACUGGCGAGACACCUACGGGUGGCUGCAGUCGAGGAUCUUCGUCAAUGGGGGCAACCCUGAACGAGCGAUGCCGCGUGCGCGAUGAAGGCCUUCGGGUUGUAAAGCGCGAAAGUGGGGAGAAAAGCCGAAAGGUGUGAUCUAUCCACAGUAAGCUCGGGCUAAGUUCGUGCCAGCAGCCGCGGUAAGACGAACCGAGCGAACGUUGUUCGGAAUCACUGGGCUUAAGGGGCGCGUAGGCGGGCUGUCAAGUCUGGGGUGAAAUGCCGCGGCUCAACCGUGGAACUGCCUCAGAUACUGACGGCCUCGAGGGAGGUAGGGGCGAGCGGAACUAAUGGUGGAGCGGUGAAAUGCGUUGAUAUCAUUAGGAACUCCGGUGGCGAAGGCGGCUCGCUGGACCUUUUCUGACGCUGAGGCGCGAAAGCUAGGGGAGCAAGCGGGAUUAGAUACCCCGGUAGUCCUAGCCCUAAACGUUGGGUACUAGAUAGUA